AUCUACCAUACCUUGCAAGAAGCUCAGAAGACAUGGCAUGCACCAAACUCUCAGUUGUAACGCUUCUCCUACUAUCUGCCUUGUUUUGGGACGUGCAAAGCAGCAUGGGCGCCGCGCCGUGUAAUCUACUCUGCCGUGAAGAUGUCGACUACGUGACCUGCACAUCCUCUGGCAAUAAGAAGCUGCCACCCAAGUGCAACUGCUGCAACCUUCCCGAUGAUUGUGUCCUUCACCUAUCGGAUGGAUCUCAAAUUUCUUGCUAGAUAUCAAUAAUAUAUGUAAACACAUAUCUAAAUAAAGGAUUUAAAUAUGGCCAUGUACUAUGACUACCAUUAAUCGAGGCAGAGCCAAGAUUUAUC
Elaeis guineensis (African oil palm) is the source of this 359-nucleotide long non-coding RNA. RefSeq lists it as uncharacterized. NCBI's taxonomy places the organism in Eukaryota, Viridiplantae, Streptophyta, Magnoliopsida, Arecales, Arecaceae. The record is from RefSeq and is a predicted model, not a curated record.